AUGAAGCUGAGAUUGGCCGGAUUCCAGAAGACAAGGAACGGCGUCGUCAAGAAGGUAGCUGCGCCCAGUCCUUCCGAUCCGCUCGGCGCUGAGGUACAAUUGGCCAUUAAUGACGGACGAUUGACAUUUAUGAAGACUACCGAAAGGAAGCUCGAUAGUGAUCCUUUACCUAUUAUCAAUGUGAUCGAGUUUGAAAAGAAGAAAGUGCUUAUUCGGUCGGAUCAGACCGAGUCCGCAAAGGGAAAAAAUGUUGUCGUCGAUGAUAAUGUUGCGCCGAGGAUGAUCAAACCAAAAAAUUCAGAAGUAAGGUUGUGGAAAGUCAAUGGAAAAAUGACACAAGCUCCAAGAAUAAAGCCGACAGUUAGCAUGUUAUUGGAAAAGUGUACUUCACGCAAGGCCAACAAUGUGUUUAAUCGUUUUGGAGGCGUUAAGCGUACUAGGUCUCCUUUUGGACCUGGAGGUCAUGAGCCAUGGAAAAAAUAUUCAUAUCAUCAACAGCCGUACUAUCCAAUGGAGUCGGCUUAUUGGGGAUGUUCACCUCCUAUGUAUCCUCGAUUUUCUCGGAGAGAUUUUUGUCCUUGGGCGCCAUAUCCUAGAGGUCCAGCAUGUUACUUUCAACCGGAGUGGAAUUCAUCAAGGCCUACGUUGAACCAAACUCGUAUGAAAAAAGAGUUCAGUUUAAUCAGAAAGGUAGACUCCGUGAUGCCAAUGUAA
This 714-nucleotide ribosomal RNA is filed under the name Triticum aestivum (bread wheat). Its description in RNAcentral is "partial small subunit ribosomal RNA". The record is from RNAcentral. Lineage: Eukaryota; Viridiplantae; Streptophyta; Magnoliopsida; Poales; Poaceae.